CUGCCCUGAUGCAUGUCACCAUUAUGGCUGCAAGAGCAUUAUGGGAGAUGUAGUCUACCACAUUGAGAGUGCUGAGGGUCUCCUACCCAAGAAGAAACUUGAAAAGUCCUUUCUAGUGCUUAACCAAUGCCCUCAAAUAGUUCCAAAUGUUUAUGCAUUACCAAAAGCACAUCAUAAGCACCUCCCUUGACAUGAUAAUGUUUGUAACUAACAAUUCUUUGUUAAAG
Pelobates cultripes (western spadefoot toad) is the source of this 227-nucleotide non-coding RNA. Lineage: Eukaryota; Metazoa; Chordata; Amphibia; Anura; Pelobatidae. The record is from the annotation of a GenBank genome assembly.